ACAAGCGGUGGAGCAUGUGGUUUAAUUCGACGCAACGCGAAGAACCUUACCAGGGCUUGACAUCCCCUGACCGCGUAUGAAAGUACGUUUUCACCUUCGGGAGACAGGGGGACAGGUGGUGCAUGGUUGUCGUCAGCUCGUGUCGUGAGAUGUUGGGUUAAGUCCCGCAACGAGCGCAACCCCUGCCCUUAGUUGCCAUCGGGUCACGCCGGGAACUCUAAGGGGACCGCCCCGGACAACGGGGAGGAAGGUGGGGAUGACGUCAAGUCAGCAUGGCCCUUAUGUCCAGGGCUACACACGUGCUACAAUGGUUGGUACAAAGGGUUGCCAAGCCGUGAGGCGGAGCCAAUCUCAAAAAGCCAACCUCAGUUCGGAUUGCAGUCUGCAACUCGACUGCAUGAAGUUGGAAUCGCUAGUAAUCGCUGAUCAGCAGGCAGCGGUGAAUACGUUCCCGGGCCUU
RNAcentral lists this ribosomal RNA (460 nucleotides) under uncultured Holophagae bacterium. Its description in RNAcentral is "bacterial SSU rRNA". It matches the Rfam family "Bacterial small subunit ribosomal RNA", at positions 925 to 1382 of the family's 1533-position model. Lineage: Bacteria; Pseudomonadati; Acidobacteriota; Holophagae. The record is from RNAcentral.